GCCUGGCUGGCUCAGUCGGUAGAGCAUGUGACUCUUGAUCUCGAGUCAUGAGGUCAAGCCCCACGUUAGGCC
RNAcentral lists this transfer RNA (72 nucleotides) under Ailuropoda melanoleuca (giant panda). It matches the Rfam family "tRNA". From Rfam's summary of the family: Transfer RNA (tRNA) molecules are approximately 80 nucleotides in length. Their secondary structure includes four short double-helical elements and three loops (D, anti-codon, and T loops). The record is from Rfam by way of RNAcentral. Lineage: Eukaryota; Metazoa; Chordata; Mammalia; Carnivora; Ursidae.